This 581-nucleotide ribosomal RNA is filed under the name uncultured marine eukaryote. RNAcentral describes it as "SSU rRNA". It matches the Rfam family "Eukaryotic small subunit ribosomal RNA", at positions 613 to 1195 of the family's 1831-position model. The record is from RNAcentral.
UUGUGGUUAAAAAGCUCGUAGUUGGAUCUCAACAGCCUUGAAGCGGUUAACUUUGUAGUUUUACUGCUUUAUAGGCUGUGCUUUUGCUGGAGGUUUAGGGGUGCUCUUGAUCGAGUGUCUCUGGAUGCCAGCAGGUUUACUUUGAAAAAAUUAGAGUGCUCAAAGCAGGCUAAAAUGCCUGAAUAUUCGUGCAUGGAAUAAUAGAAUAGGAUGUCGAUCCUAUUUUGUUGGUUUUCGGGACUCGACAUAAUGAUAAAUAGGGACAGUCGGGGGCAUUUGUAUUCAAACGACAGAGGUGAAAUUCUUGGACCGUUUGAAGACAAACUACUGCGAAAGCAUUUGCCAAGAAUGUUUUCAUUAAUCAAGAACGAAAGUUAGAGGUUCGAAGGCGAUCAGAUACCGCCCUAGUUCUAACCAUAAACGAUGCCAGCUAGCGAUCUGCCUGCGUUUUUACUGUAGACUGGGCAGGAAGCUUCCGGGAAACCAAAGCAUUUGGGUUCCAGGGGAAGUAUGGUUGCAAAGCUGAAACUUAAAGGAAUUGACGGAAGGGCACCACCAGGAGUGGAGCCUGUGGCUUAAUU